Molecule: ribosomal RNA, 798 nt
Filed under: Wickerhamiella pararugosa
Lineage: Eukaryota; Fungi; Ascomycota; Dipodascomycetes; Dipodascales; Trichomonascaceae
Description: partial large subunit ribosomal RNA
Rfam family: Eukaryotic large subunit ribosomal RNA
Source: RNAcentral
AAACCAACAGGGAUUCCCUUAGUAACGGCGAGUGAACCGGGAAAAGCUCAAAUUUGAAAUCUGCCAACAGGCCGAGUUGUAAUUUGUAGAUGGCUACACUGCAUAAUAGUAGAUGCUCAAGUUCUUUGGAAAAAGACAUCAUGGAGGGUGACAAUCCCGUGAGGCAUGUUACUAGGAGCAUAUAGUGGGCUUUCUAAGAGUCGAGUUGUUUGGGAAUGCAGCUCAAAGUGCGUGGUGAAUACCAUGUAAAGCUAAAUAUGGACGAGAGACCGAUAGCGAACAAGUACUGUGAAGGAAAGAUGAAAAGCACUCCGAAAGGAGAGUGAAAUAGUACGUGAAAUUGUUAAAGUGGAAGGGCUUGAGAUCAGAAUUGGUAGUUUGGGUUCCACGUCCUCUUGGGGGCGUGUACUCCCUUUCCACCGGGCCAGCGGGAGUUUCGUCUCUUGGGUAAAAGCAGUGGAAUGUAGCAGCUUGUCUGUAUUAUAGCCUCUGUUCAUACAAGACGUCGAGACUUGAUUUGUUGGCGUAAUGAUCUCUAGNCACCCGUCUUGAAACACGGACCAAGGAGUCUAUUGCCUAUGCGAGUGUUUGGGUGGAAAACCCUUGCGCGUAAUGAAAGUGAAAAGAUCAGGGCUCUUUUUUGAGUGCACGAUCGACCGAUCUUGACGAUUUUCAGAUGGAUUUGAGUAAGAGCAUAGUUGAUGGGACCCGAAAGAUGGUGAACUAUACUUGGCGAGGGCGAAGCCAGAGGAAACUCUGGUGGAGGUCCGUAGGGGUUCUGACGUGCAAAUCGAUCCU